This 419-nucleotide long non-coding RNA is filed under the name Anser brachyrhynchus (Pink-footed goose). RNAcentral's name for it is "lncRNA (ENSABRG00000007985.1)". Lineage: Eukaryota; Metazoa; Chordata; Aves; Anseriformes; Anatidae. The record is from RNAcentral.
GUGGCACCAGGUGUUGCCUAUUAGGUUUCGCAACCCAGUGUACCUUCCCAGUCCUAUGUUAUAUCUCAGAAAGGAUGAUCAAGAAUCAUCUAUGGAUCAGCAGUGAUAGAUACAGAAGAAGAACCUGUGGGACUUUAUUAUCCAGCAGGUAUGGAUGAUAAGGAUCACUUGUCCAACAAGAAACACGUUGAUUUCAUAGGUGGAUUUGACUCUUACGGCUAUCAAGGCCCACAGAAGACAUCUCAUCUACAGUUACAGCCCAUGUAUAUGUCAAAGUAACAUGGAGACUACUCAAGAUGGGCUGGAGGACCUGUCAAAGAAACUGUUUUGGGAUUGCCCCUUGGUUCUUCAAAGAGCAAAAAAAAUCAUUUUUUUGUGCUAAAAAAUAAAAAAUAAAAAUAAAAAAGGCUGAUUGAACA